Long non-coding RNA from Apis laboriosa (Himalayan honeybee), 547 nucleotides. RefSeq lists it as uncharacterized. Lineage: Eukaryota; Metazoa; Arthropoda; Insecta; Hymenoptera; Apidae. The record is from RefSeq and is a predicted model, not a curated record. The transcript has 3 exons.
GGAACCUAGAUACUACGCGAUUUUUGAACAGAAAAAAAACCGUACCUCUAGAAUCUACAAGAAUUAUGUAUCAAAGAAAACAAGCGAUCAUCAAGUUGAACAAUAUGAUCUUCCAAAUGAAGAAAGCGUUAAAUGCUCGUUUAUUGCGCUAGAGGUUACACCAAAGAAGAUAAUAUUCUGAAUGAAAUGUGUUAUUAGCUACACCCACGCUAUAAUUAUGAAUUUUAUUAAAAGAAGCAUAAAAAGAAGUAUAAAAAUCUAUAAAACAUGGAGUAAAACUUCGAUUUCUUCGAUUACAUUCUCUUUCGCUGAAAAUAUAAGAAGUUAGCAAUAUAAAAACUAUCAAGAAUUCGGCCAUUUCAUCUACAACGACCUAUGUAAAUUAUCCUUAAUAACCAAUAAUAGAAUCCAUCCACCGCGUAAAAGCACUAAAAAGAUUUGGCUGUCUGGAAGGAAUAGUUCCGUCGAAGGAAGACACGGCAAAAGACAUGUAAAAUAGUAAGAAGCAAGAAAAGAGAUAGAAGGGAUGGAAGAACGGAAGCAAUUA